Non-coding RNA from Plectropomus leopardus (leopard coralgrouper), 1626 nucleotides. The record is from RefSeq and is a predicted model, not a curated record. NCBI's taxonomy places the organism in Eukaryota, Metazoa, Chordata, Actinopteri, Perciformes, Serranidae.
AGACAGUGUAACAAGCAGCAGCGCUUCAUAUGAUGUAAACUCUACAUGACGACUCGGGAUGAGAACGUGUUGAUAGGUCACCGAAACAGCUCAAUGUGAUGCUCAUUAAUCAUAAUCAGACAUGAUGCACUAACUGUCCCAGUUAAGUCCCAUUCAGACACAACGUAAGCUGCACCGUCCCAGGGUUCAGUGAGCACAGAGCAGCUGCAGUAAUUUAAAUUUUAAGUAUACAUUAGUAUUAGUUGCUAAUAGUCAGUUUUUCAAAACUUAAGCUCAUUUUUCUAAACUUAAGCUCAUUAAAAAAUAUCUGCGUUCAACUAUGGGGCAUCUCAGUGGUCUUGCUGUCAUCAGCUUCAGUGCAGAUGAAGCUGUGACCUAAAUAACGACCUUGAAGCCAGGAAAUGCAGACGUGCCUCUGCAGAGCCUCCCACAACUGCUGGGAAAUGGCCGUGCUAUAGUUCUCCUGUAGUGGAAGUUUUGUGACUUUUCCUCGGUUAUAUAGAAGCUAUGGCAUACUUCUGCUUUUCCUAUUAUUUAUUUAUAUUUAUUUUAAUUACACUAAGGGCAUGAAAAUGGCCAGCUGGGGGCCUGGUCACAAUUGUUCUCAUUUUACAGCUGAACAGUACCGUUAAAUAUGUUUCAGAAAACAUUUGAGGUGAGAAAUAGAAAAUGCAGUCACAGCAUCUUGAUUCGUAUUUUAUCAGUGCUGUCUGACAGUCUGACCGCAGGUCACCAGCAGUGACCUGCGGUCAGUGACAGUUGACAGUUGCGUCAGAGACUCCUUGGCUCUGAUUGGUUGUUUUCCUCACAUGCAUUAAUGCCAUAAGAGCACAAAGAGAGGGCAGAGGAAUAUGAUUUUUUUUCUGCAGAUUAUCUGUUUCAUGUAUGAUUGUGAGGUCAGUUUCAGCAAAUAUGACAAAGUUAUUUAUCAGAAAGUUACCAACUACAGCUUGAAAGAGUUAAAAGUAAAAAAUUUGAACUGUAGAUAACUAAAUUCUGUUUUUGUUUCUUUUGUCCAGAGUCUGUUUUUUAGACACAAGCAAAAACCUAAAACUGCCCCUCCGCCUCCUCCUGCUCAAUCUGAAACACCACCUCCUCCGUAUAGUGCUGCAUCUUCAAUCUUCAAAUUUGGAUUUGGGAACCGUUUUGGAAAGCCAAAAGGCCCCAGGAGUUAUCCAGAGACCUGGGUUUGAAAAACGGACCUGCUCUUUUAAUGAUGAAUCAACAAAAUGCAUUGCUAAAGGACUUUGACAGUAUCCUUGAAGAUACGGUGGAGGACCACAUACAGUGGACCUGAAAAGCACUGAAGGCCGCUCUGUGUCCUGCACAGCACAGUAACGCCCACAGCAGAGAACUGGGAGUGCCUUGAUUACAGCUCUGAUGCACUUCAUGAAGUAUAUCAGCUCAGGUUGAUUUUAAUUAUUGAUCAGUGCCUCAUUGAACAGCACAGACAGUCACUUGGACCAAUGACUUGAAUGUUUAAUCAAAAGCUCAGCCUCUAGAAUAAUUAGCUUGAAGAGGUGGGCAGUCUGCGGUGAGAAGACGUACACUUCUUGUUUAAAUGCUUAAAGCAACGCUGUAAAAGGAAUACUUUACCCACAAAAUGAUCAUUUGUGUAUCAGUUGA